Meleagris gallopavo (turkey) is the source of this 2286-nucleotide non-coding RNA. NCBI's taxonomy places the organism in Eukaryota, Metazoa, Chordata, Aves, Galliformes, Phasianidae. The record is from RefSeq and is a predicted model, not a curated record.
CGUGGGGCCGCAUCGCAGCGCCGUGUGGGGACUGUGGCGGGCCGUGCGUGCUCUCUGAGCGUGUAAAUCUUUACCAGUCGUGUCAGAAGUCAUUCGUCUUCCCAAGAUGAUAUUCAAAGGAUUUGGAAGGUCUGAAUAGUGUACCACCCUCCUGCCCUUCAAACUGCACAUCAGUCUGCUGCUCUCUGUGCCACCCGUGAGUUUGUAGAGGAGGGAAGAGGAGCACUGAGGAGAGGGAAAAUUCCAAGUCCCAUGGUGGCAGCUGCACUGUCUUGCUGGUUAGAGAGCUGCUGUGGGAGGGAAAAGCACGAUUCUGCUUAGCAGCCAUUUCACCAGGAAUUUGGGGAUUGAACACAACAGAGGACCCUGAAGAGGCUAAAGCUGCUCUCUCUCCCAAGCAGAGCAUAUAAAAAUACUGCAGGAGGACUGAGCCCAGUGGUUGCUGCAGCCAAAUGAAGGCUGUGGUCCAGGGAGUUAACUGCUUGACAGAAAUCAUCCAGAUGAGUGGACAGAGCAGAAAAUCCAAUGAUUCGGACUUACGUGUGGCAAUAGCUGGUGUGGUGCAAUUAAUUCCCCAUUGGUUAGCAGUCACAGCUUGUGCCUGCAUCUCCCCGCCUCUCCUAUCAGGUGUUUCUCCUCUUCACCUGAGCUUACUGAACAGUUGGUUCCAUUUAUUGUCUCCUGCAGCACUGAACCUUUCCUUCAAAAUAGUGCUUUGUACCUAGAAUCCAUCUAUGGAUCAAUGUAAACUAAUUUCUUUGUUUCUGUGAUCUAAAUAAAUGCUUUCAUAAUUUAGUAACAGGGAGCAUCUAACAGCUGGGAGGGGAAAAAUAAAGGGUGGUGUAACAGAAAGUAGUGUAAGGCAAUGAAAUAUUGAAGCUGAUCAAUAAAAGGUGGGUGAGCAGUUAAAGACAGGAGGUAGAGAAGGAACUAGAGGCUUCGAGCACUGGAUCAGAAGCACAGUGUGACUGCUGGAAGUUGUUCUGUGCCUUUCCAUACAAAUCCUAAAGGAAAUGAUGGGUUUAUAGGAACCUUCAUCUGGAAAUUAAUUUCACCUUAAAACUGAAGGUUUCAGGUUCUCAAAAAUAUUUCUCUCCUCCAUAGCUAGCUUGGUUCCCAGAAAAGGCUGGGUGUGGCUGAGGCUGCUUGUUUUGAGACAAAGCAUCCCAAGAGCAGAGCCAUGGGCUGUGUGGCACAACGGGGUUUGGAUGCUUAUGGCUGUCCAGGCAUCACUGCACGCCAGAGCUUCAGCUGGCUUCUCGUGGGAUAAAUCCACUGCCAAAAUGGCUCUUGUCAUUCUUGCCCAGUGUGACGGCAAGGGGCCGUGGCCAGCAUCUUUGUGCUGGCACUUAUUGUUCUCGGGGAGGGACUGGGCUGAAACCCACAGCAGUGUCUGUAUGAGGGCAGACAGUAUGAGCUGAUAGCAUGAGCUGAUAGCAGGAGUUUGGCAUAGUGUGACUUUAGCAGAUCUUGCUCACAAGUUUGACAAAUACUCAACUGAGUCUCGUCAAGAUUGUGGGGGGGUACACCUUAAUUCUUCAUGUACCUUGUUUGCUGGAUUUGUGGGAGUAUGUAUGCACACUGAUGUACAAGGAGCGCGGGUCCUGUUUUACCUGUGCUGUUCCAUUUGUUCAUGCACAAGCUUUUAAAAUGGGUGUCAUCUUGAUCAGAACCAAGAAUAGAAGGCUGUCUGCGUGCUCCUGUCUUAUGAUAUCUUAAUGCACUUUUUAACAUGCUGUGUAGGUUCCUGGGUUUAAUUUGGAAUUACAUAGAACAUGGUAGAACAGUCUUGUUCCAGACACCAGUAUCAUUCACCUGCCUGAAAAUUUCUUCCUAACAGCCUUGAAUGUAUUUCUGAACGGUGAGUCUGUGUAGUGGUGGGAGGCAUUUGAGCAGGCUCAUGAUGGAGCUGCCCAGAAACACUACCAAAUUAUUUGCUCCACAUAGCUUUGAUUUUGCAUCCAACAACAGUAAUGAUAGGGAACUGUAAUUUGCAUUAAUUUCCUACGUGUUUAGUGUGUUUAAAAGUUUGCUCUGCAGAAAAGCAGCAUCAAUCUUUUUAUGCAGUUAUGGAUCCUGGCUGCUUCAAUGCAAGGUACCCAGUGAUCUCUUUGUGUAUUUCUUUUGCUAUUAAUAGUAAUUAGAAUGUAGUAAGUGGUUUAGUAAAAGCUAUUUGGAGGCCACAUUUUCUAGGGAAUUCUUGUGGUUUUGCAGUAUCAUUAUUAAUGGACUGAAUUGCAAAUAAAUUCGAAUUUGAUUAAUAUUCAGCAACCUGAAGUUUGUGAA